UCGUCAUGGACCGCUCGGUAAGGGUUCACACACCAGCCCUGGUCCCUGCCCUCCUGGUUGCUGUCUCCCUCCCUGGGCCUCCCAGAAAACCCUCUUGCCAGCACUCAGGUCUCAGUUCCUGCAGCCUGAGAUAAAGCAAGGUGGAAGAGGAGGGAGGAAGGCUGCUCUGAGGAGAAUACCCCGGAGUCUGGGCAGCACAGGGGGCCCAGGGAGGCUGGAGGAGGCCAGAACGCUGGGUGGGCUGGGAAGAGCUUCUGGAGCUGGGGGAGGGGCUGCUGCUAGGGGGCUGAGGCCCAGGCUUCUGUCUGGCUGUGGGUGCCUGCUAAUUGCCCCUCGUCACCCAGACCGACAUCGUGAAAGCCAUCGCCCGCCUCAUUGAGUUCUAUAAGCACGAGAGCUGUGGCCAGUGUACCCCAUGUCGUGAGGGUGUGGACUGGAUGAACAAGGUGAUGGCACGUUUCGUGAGGGGGGACGCCCAGCCGGCCGAGAUCGAUUCCCUGUGGGAGAUCAGCAAGCAGAUAGAAGGCCAUACGAUUUGUGCUCUGGGUGACGGGGCCGCCUGGCCUGUGCAGGGUCUGAUCCGCCACUUUCGGCCGGAGCUCGAGGAGCGGAUGCAGCGGUUUGCCCAGCAGCAUCAGGCCCAGCAGGCUGCCUCUUAGCCCACCACUCUGGCCUGCUGUCCUGCGUCUAUCCGUCUGGAAUGCUGGACAAUAAAGCGAGUGCUGCCCACCCUCCC
This 736-nucleotide small RNA is filed under the name Pongo abelii (Sumatran orangutan). Its description in RNAcentral is "retained intron". The record is from RNAcentral. Lineage: Eukaryota; Metazoa; Chordata; Mammalia; Primates; Hominidae.